UACAGAGGGUGCGAGCGUUAAUCGGAAUUACUGGGCGUAAAGCGUGCGUAGACGGUUAUUUAAGUCGGGUGUGAAAGCCCCGGGCUCAACCUGGGAAUUGCGCUCGAAACUACGUGGCUGGAGUGUGGCAGAGGAAGGUGGAAUUCCACGUGUAGCGGUGAAAUGCGUAGAGAUGUGGAGGAACACCAAUGGCGAAGGCAGCCUUCUGGGCCAACACUGACGCUCAUGCACGAAAGCGUGGGGAGCAAACAGG
This 253-nucleotide ribosomal RNA is filed under the name uncultured bacterium. RNAcentral describes it as "partial 16S ribosomal RNA". It matches the Rfam family "Bacterial small subunit ribosomal RNA", at positions 524 to 776 of the family's 1533-position model. The record is from RNAcentral.